GAUGAACGCUGGCGGCGUGCCUAAUACAUGCAAGUAGAACGCUGAAGCUUGGUGCUUGCACCGAGCGGAUGAGUUGCGAACGGGUGAGUAACGCGUAGGUAACCUGCCUCUUAGCGGGGGAUAACUAUUGGAAACGAUAGCUAAUACCGCAUAAAAGUCGAUAUCGCAUGAUAUUGAUUUGAAAGGUGCAAAUGCAUCACUAAGAGAUGGACCUGCGUUGUAUUAGCUAGUUGGUGAGGUAACGGCUCACCAAGGCGACGAUACAUAGCCGACCUGAGAGGGUGAUCGGCCACACUGGGACUGAGACACGGCCCAGACUCCUUCGGGAGGCAGCAGUAGGGAAUCUUCGGCAAUGGGGGCAACCCUGACCGAGCAACGCCGCGUGAGUGAAGAAGGUUUUCGGAUCGUAAAGCUCUGUUGUAAGAGAAGAACGAGUGUGAGAGUGGAAAGUUCACACUGUGACGGUAACUUACCAGAAAGGGACGGCUAACUACGUG
RNAcentral lists this ribosomal RNA (497 nucleotides) under uncultured bacterium. RNAcentral describes it as "partial 16S ribosomal RNA". It matches the Rfam family "Bacterial small subunit ribosomal RNA", at positions 28 to 507 of the family's 1533-position model. The record is from RNAcentral.